This 747-nucleotide long non-coding RNA is filed under the name Pan troglodytes (chimpanzee). RNAcentral describes it as "lncRNA (ENSPTRG00000053686.1)". Lineage: Eukaryota; Metazoa; Chordata; Mammalia; Primates; Hominidae. The record is from RNAcentral.
GGCGACCGGAUUACAAUUCCAGCCAGCAUGAACACGGGACGGCGCGCAGUCCUGAAGGGCGAAGCAGGGCUGCGCCGGGCUUGCUGUACAUGCUGGGAGCUGUAGUCUUUUCACCGCUCCCGCCCGUUGUUUCAAGCGCUUCGGGACUACAAUCCCAGCAUGCCCCGGGCUCGGGGGCGGGGCGCAGUUCUUGUGGGAGGAGCGGGGCGGUGCGCGCCUGGCCGGGCAGGCUGGAAACGGUAGCUCUUAACUGUUCCCCGCCCGUUGAUGACGAGGCGGCUGGACUAGAAUCCCAGCAGGAGACAUGCGAGGAGGCGGGCAGCCCAAGAGGGUUGGGCAGGGCAGUGUGGACCUCGCCGCUUCCACAGCGAUGCUGGCUACUGAUCGCGGGCACCUCCUUGCCAUGGGAUUCUGGUUCCCACUGCUCCCACCUGCAGACAGCCCAUAGCUGGUUGCAUCUUGUCAGAGGCAAACACCCGGAGAUGGAGAUGUGUGUCUCAGUCCUAAGCCCAAGUCUCCAGAGAAGAGCAUCUGGAGGGCCCUCCAGGGUCCAUCCCAACCCAAAUCUUCUGUAGUCAAGAACAAGGAGCCAGUGGUGCAGACACAGAUGCAGUUCCAUCGCUUGGGCCCCACCAAGGAAAGAAGCAGUUCUCAGAGACUAGAGUGGAGGAUGGAGACAGGCUGGGCCCACACCCCCAUGCCCCACAGGUACCUACUACGACUCCCCAGAAAUAAACAUUUCCCCAG